RNAcentral lists this transfer RNA (72 nucleotides) under Oculatella sp. LEGE 06141. It matches the Rfam family "tRNA". From Rfam's summary of the family: Transfer RNA (tRNA) molecules are approximately 80 nucleotides in length. Their secondary structure includes four short double-helical elements and three loops (D, anti-codon, and T loops). Lineage: Bacteria; Bacillati; Cyanobacteriota; Cyanophyceae; Oculatellales; Oculatellaceae. The record is from Rfam by way of RNAcentral.
GGGCGAUUAGCUCAGUGGUAGAGCGCCUGCCUUACAAGCAGGAUGUCACAAGUUCGACCCUUGUAUCGCCCA